RNAcentral lists this ribosomal RNA (446 nucleotides) under uncultured bacterium. RNAcentral's name for it is "bacterial SSU rRNA". It matches the Rfam family "Bacterial small subunit ribosomal RNA", at positions 355 to 796 of the family's 1533-position model. The record is from RNAcentral.
UCGAGAAUCUUCGGCAAUGGGCGCAAGCCUGACCGAGCGACGCCGCGUGCGGGAUGAAGGUCUUCGGAUUGUAAACCGCUGUCGGAGGGGAUGAAGUGCAGGGGGGUACUCCCCCCUGUUUGACAGAGCCUCGGAGGAAGCACGGGCUAAGUUCGUGCCAGCAGCCGCGGUAAUACGAACUGUGCGAACGUUAUUCGGAAUCACUGGGCUUAAAGGGUGCGUAGGCGGCGGCUCCAGUCAGGUGUGAAAUCCCCCGGCUCAACCGGGGAACAGCGCUUGAAACUAGGUCGCUCGAGUGAGGCAGGGGUGCAUGGAACUUCCGGUGGAGCGGUGAAAUGUGUAGAGAUCGGAAGGAACGCCGGCGGCGAAAGCGGUGCACUGGGCCUUGUCUGACGCUGAGGCACGAAAGCUAGGGGAGUGAACGGGAUUAGAUACCCCCGUAGUCC